CCUCAGAUCAGGUAGGGACACCGCCUGAACUUAAGCAUAUCAAUAAGGCGAGGAACAGAAACCAACAGGGAUUCCCUCAGUAGUGGCGAAUGAAGCGGGAAAAGCUCAAGUUUGAAAUCUGGAGGGUGACCUUCAGAGUUGUAGGCUGACGAGGUGUCGACCGACGCGGUGCGGGCUUAAUUUCCUUGGAACAGGAAGUCAUGGAGGGUGAGAACCCCGUAUGUGGCUCGAAUGCCGUCGCCCUUGUGUCGUAUCCUCCAAGAGUCGGGUUGUUUGGGAAUGCAGCUCAAAAUGGGUGGUAAAUUUCAUCUAAAGCUAAAUACUGGCGAGAGACCGAUAGCGAACAAGUAGAGUGAUCUAAAGAUGAAAAGUACUUUGAAAAGAGAGUGAAACAGUACGUGAAAUUGUUGAAAGGGAAGCGCUUGGUAUCAGCCCGUGGCGUCGGUCCAUCAUCCAGGUCAAGACCUGGUGCACUGGGCCGAGGUCGGGUCAGCGUCGGCUUUGCCCGUCGGAGAAAGGUCAGGGGAACGUGGCUCUCUUUGGGAGCGUUAUAACCCCUGGCGUCAUGCGAUGCGGUGAGGUCGAGGUCUGCGG
RNAcentral lists this ribosomal RNA (594 nucleotides) under uncultured Archaeorhizomycetes. Its description in RNAcentral is "eukaryotic LSU rRNA". It matches the Rfam family "Eukaryotic large subunit ribosomal RNA", at positions 1 to 600 of the family's 3401-position model. Lineage: Eukaryota; Fungi; Ascomycota; Archaeorhizomycetes. The record is from RNAcentral.